CGGAAAUCUGAAUCAAAUUAUAUUCUCCUUCACCAUAAAGUCAAGAAAAUCUUGGAAAUGGAAAAACGAAAUAAAUAUAUGGGUAUGGAUAGGAGAUAGGAGUAGAAGAUAACAUUUUAAGAUAUUAGUAGCAGCUGCCAAAUUGUUGUGGUUUUUGAAAUAGCUACUCGCUACGGUUAAAACUAUGUUGGAUGUUCCUUCUUGCAAGAAUUUGAUGAUGGGAGGCAGUUGUGAAGCGAUGGACUUGCAAAAAAUAGAUCAUUUUUUUUUGGAAAUGUACAUUAAAAUGGGGGAAAAAUCAAAGAUAUAGAGUUGAUAAUGGACGACACAAAAGUAGCAGACUAUUGUAAAGUCUGGUAUCACAGGAAAUAUGCAAAUCAAGCCUUUCCAGCAGGGUAGCUUGAAGAUUUAUUGACUUUCAUAUAGAACAUCGCAGUGAUAUGUCUGCCAUCACCUUUAUUUUGUAUAAUUAGAAUCGAAU
This is a long non-coding RNA of Sitophilus oryzae (rice weevil), 481 nucleotides long. RefSeq lists it as uncharacterized. NCBI's taxonomy places the organism in Eukaryota, Metazoa, Arthropoda, Insecta, Coleoptera, Curculionidae. The record is from RefSeq and is a predicted model, not a curated record. The transcript is spliced from 4 exons.